CAGAAGAUAAUUUAAUAAAAAUGUAAGUUUUGGGUGCUUAAAAUGAUUUUUUACUCUCUUCUGA
This 64-nucleotide transfer RNA is filed under the name Magicicada septendecim (seventeen-year cicada). RNAcentral's name for it is "tRNA-Pro". Lineage: Eukaryota; Metazoa; Arthropoda; Insecta; Hemiptera; Cicadidae. The record is from RNAcentral. RNAcentral also lists the same sequence under 2 other names.